UGAGUCAGCCAGGCAAUCGCUGCCACAUUUAUGUGGGGGAGGAAAGUCCGGGCUCCAUCGGGCAGGGUGCCAGAUAACUUCUGGGCGGCGCGAGCCGACGACAAGUGCAGCAGAGAGUAUACCGCCUAAGUACGCAAGUACCGGUAAGGGUGAAAGGGUGCGGUAAGAGCGCACCGCACAGCUGGUAACAGUUUGUGGCAAGGUAAACUCCACCCGGAGCAAGACCAAAUAGGCUUCCAUAACGUAUGGCCCAUAUGGGAAGCGGGUAGGUUGCUUGAGUCAAUUAGCAAUGAUUGACCUAGAGGAAUGAUUGUCCAAGACAGAACCCGGCUUACCGGCUGACUCAACUU
Molecule: RNase P RNA, 350 nt
Filed under: Alteromonas sp. 5E99-2
Lineage: Bacteria; Pseudomonadati; Pseudomonadota; Gammaproteobacteria; Alteromonadales; Alteromonadaceae
Description: Bacterial RNase P class A
Rfam family: Bacterial RNase P class A
About the family: Ribonuclease P (RNase P) is a ubiquitous endoribonuclease, found in archaea, bacteria and eukarya as well as chloroplasts and mitochondria. Its best characterised activity is the generation of mature 5'-ends of tRNAs by cleaving the 5'-leader elements of precursor-tRNAs.
Source: Rfam by way of RNAcentral